RNAcentral lists this long non-coding RNA (621 nucleotides) under Rattus norvegicus (Norway rat). RNAcentral's name for it is "long non-coding RNA NONRATT005116". Lineage: Eukaryota; Metazoa; Chordata; Mammalia; Rodentia; Muridae. The record is from RNAcentral.
GUCUAGGAACCACAGGCUGGCCCACACCUGGUGCCUGACUCUUUUCUUUCUCUUCUCAGGAGCAAGAGCAGCUCUACCUGCGGUCUGGUGUGGUUUCCUCUGCGACCUUUGAGCAGCCAGGUCGGCAGGUCAAGCUGUGGGUGAAGAUGGUGACCCCGCUGAUCAAGAACUUCUUUUGAGAACAGGAAUGGCCUUGAUGAAGAUGACGGGCAUGACUGGGGUCAGAUCCUUCAGCUUUGCUUCAGCAAUGACUCCGGUCUGGGUGUCCCAGCGAGCUCCUGUGGGGACAAUGGAGCUGAGGGUCUGGGUGCCCCAGGGGAGGCAGAACCCACUGUUUGGAGUGCUGACUGUGAAAAAGGGAGGCACGGUAGGGAGAGAGGCCUGGCCUCCAACCUCCCCACUCUUUUCAGAGACAGGCCAGUGACUGGGAGCCCUGAAGAGUUCAGGCCAGGUGCCAGGGCCUGAGAGUGCCAAACACAGAGGAGUGUGGACCGAGGACUCCGAAGUGACUCGCAUGCCGUAACGGUUCUGAGGCUGCAUCUUCUCAGAGCUUCAUCUCCGCCUUCUCAAUGUCAGUGGCAGAGAAAACUGACCGCAGCCUAAUUCCAGCAGUGUACCCUC